UAGGGAAUCUUCCACAAUGGACGAAAGUCUGAUGGAGCAACGCCGCGUGAGUGAAGAAGGGUUUCGGCUCGUAAAGCUCUGUUGGUAGUGAAGAAAGAUAGAGGUAGUAACUGGCCUUUAUUUGACGGUAAUUAAUGAAUAAGCUCCGGCUAACUACGUGCC
Molecule: ribosomal RNA, 162 nt
Filed under: uncultured bacterium
Lineage: Bacteria
Description: partial 16S ribosomal RNA
Rfam family: Bacterial small subunit ribosomal RNA
Source: RNAcentral